This 369-nucleotide ribosomal RNA is filed under the name Grammomys sp. RNAcentral's name for it is "partial 12S ribosomal RNA". The stretch from base 46 to 369 matches the Rfam family "Bacterial small subunit ribosomal RNA", at positions 875 to 1364 of the family's 1533-position model. Lineage: Eukaryota; Metazoa; Chordata; Mammalia; Rodentia; Muridae. The record is from RNAcentral.
GCUUAGCCCUAAACCUAAAUAAUUAAACAACAAAAAUAUUUGCCAGAGAACUACUGGCCACCGCUUAAAACUCAAAGGACUUGGCGGUACUUUAUAUCCGUCUAGAGGAGCCUGUUCUAUAAUCGAUAAACCCCGCUAUACCUCACCAUCUCUUGCUAAUUCAGCCUAUAUACCGCCAUCUUCAGCAAACCCUAAAAAGGCAUAAAAGUAAGCAUAAGAAUAACCAUAAAAACGUUAGGUCAAGGUGUAGCCAAUGAGAUGGGAAGAAAUGGGCCACAUUUUCUUUCAUAAGAACAUUAACGAAACCCUUUAUGAAACUAAAGGAUAAAGGAGGAUUUAGUAGUAAAUUAAGAAUAGAGAGCUUAAUUG